Molecule: ribosomal RNA, 366 nt
Filed under: Triticum aestivum (bread wheat)
Lineage: Eukaryota; Viridiplantae; Streptophyta; Magnoliopsida; Poales; Poaceae
Description: partial small subunit ribosomal RNA
Source: RNAcentral
AUGCCAUUCACGAUUCAUGAGUACAAAAAUCACCAAAUAGACCAAAACAUUGCUAGAAGUACCUUAGUUCAAGUGCUACAACAGGAACUUGCGUAUAUAAGUAUAACCAUAGUUCGAAGAGGUGGGCGCUCACAUCUUUCUCCACUGUCGGCUGUCACCCCAGGGCACCACUCCAACCCCUUUGUUAUGAGCAUAUACCUAAAUAUUGGUACAGCCAAAUUUACAGAAUAUAUAUUGUACAUGAGGAGGGUUUGUGAGGAAGAGAGGACCCGUCGAAGAAAAAAAAUAGAGGAUCCGUGGAAGAGAGAAAAAGAGAGAAGGAGCGUGAACAGCCUUCAUUUUAGUGAUAUGCAGGUUGUUUUGUGA